Bos taurus (domestic cattle) is the source of this 71-nucleotide non-coding RNA. NCBI's taxonomy places the organism in Eukaryota, Metazoa, Chordata, Mammalia, Artiodactyla, Bovidae. The record is from Rfam.
UCCCUGGUGGCCCAGUGGUUAGGACUCAGCACUUUCACUGCUGGGCCCAGGUUCAAUCCCUGGUUGGGGAA